RNAcentral lists this long non-coding RNA (390 nucleotides) under Cyanoderma ruficeps (rufous-capped babbler). Its description in RNAcentral is "lncRNA (ENSCRFG00000004418.1)". The record is from RNAcentral. Lineage: Eukaryota; Metazoa; Chordata; Aves; Passeriformes; Timaliidae.
CCUUGAAUUGCAAGUCUUGUAAAGGUAUGGAUGGGAAACCCAUGAAUAUGGAAAUCUACAGUUUUUGAAGUGAAUAAACCUCUAUCAAUGGCCAGUAUUAAGGUUGCCAUGAGGAAAAUAUAAACCUUGUGUCUUCUGAGCUGUUCCGAGGCUCUUUCAGGACUGGAAUCCUUAUUCAAAAUAACGGAAUCAGUAAUGAAGAACGACUCCAUCAAUUAAAAAGACAAUUUACAUUUAUCUUUUCCAGAAUAAAUGUGUAUUUUAGAAGUUAAUUUAAUAUUUAAAUCAAGACACAUAAAAAUACAAGUCUCUUUGACUUAAUAAAAACUGAUAACACAACUUUCCUUUGUAUGAAGCAAUAUGAGCAGGUGGUAUUGUCAGGAAAAAGAC